This 496-nucleotide ribosomal RNA is filed under the name uncultured bacterium. RNAcentral describes it as "partial 16S ribosomal RNA". It matches the Rfam family "Bacterial small subunit ribosomal RNA", at positions 28 to 506 of the family's 1533-position model. The record is from RNAcentral.
GAUGAACGCUGGCGGCGUGCCUAAUACAUGCAAGUCGAGCGAACGGACGAGUAGCUUGCUUUUCUGAUGUUAGCGGCGGACGUGUGAGUAACACGUGGAUAACCUACCUAUAAGACUGGGAUAACUUCGGGAAACCGGAGCUAAUACCGGAUAAUAUUUUGAACCGCAUGGUUCAAAAGUGAAAGACGGUCUUGCUGUCACUUAUAGAUGGAUCCGCGCUGCAUUAGCUAGUUGGUAAGGUAACGGCUUACCAAGGCAACGAUGCAUAGCCGACCUGAGAGGGUGAUCGGCCACACUGGAGCUGAGACACGGUCCAGACUCCUACGGGAGGCAGCAGUAGGGAAUCUUCCGCAAUGGGCGAAAGCCUGACGGAGCAACGACGCGUGAGUGAUGAAGGUCUUCGGAUCGUAAAACUCUGUUAUUAGGGAAGAACAUAUGUGUAAGUAACUGUGCACAUCUUGACGGUACCUAAUCAGAAAGCCACGGCUAACUACGU